Molecule: ribosomal RNA, 274 nt
Filed under: uncultured bacterium
Lineage: Bacteria
Description: partial 16S ribosomal RNA
Rfam family: Bacterial small subunit ribosomal RNA
Source: RNAcentral
AUACAGAGGGUGCAAGCGUUAAUCGGAAUUACUGGGCGUAAAGCGCACGUAGGCGGCUAAGUAAGUCAGAUGUGAAAGCCCUGAGCUCAACUUGGGAACUGCAUUUGAAACUGCCUGACUUGAGUGUGAUAGAGGAUAGUGGAAUUUCCGGUGUAGCGGUGAAAUGCGUAGAGAUCGGAAGGAACACCAGUGGCGAAGGCGGCUAUCUGGAUCAACACUGACGCUGAGGUACGAAAGCGUGGGGAGCAAACAGGAUUAGAAACCCGUGUAGUCC